Molecule: ribosomal RNA, 459 nt
Filed under: uncultured bacterium
Lineage: Bacteria
Description: partial 16S ribosomal RNA
Rfam family: Bacterial small subunit ribosomal RNA
Source: RNAcentral
CCUACGGGCGGCAGCAGUGAGGAAUAUUGGUCAAUGGACGAGAGUCUGAACCAGCCAAGUAGCGUGAAGGAUGACUGCCCUAUGGGUUGUAAACUUCUUUUAUAAAGGAAUAAAACGAGGCACGUGUGCCUUUUUGCAUGUACUUUAUGAAUAAGGAUCGGCUAACUCCGUGCCAGCAGCCGCGGUAAUACGGAGGAUCCGAGCGUUAUCCGGAUUUAUUGGGUUUAAAGGGAGCGCAGGCGGGCCUUUAAGCCGGCGGUGAAAUCGCGGGGCUCAACCCCGCCGAGCCGUCGGAACUGGGGGCCUUGAGUGCGGCGGAGGCAUGCGGAAUGCGCGGUGUAGCGGUGAAAUGCAUAGAUAUCGCGCAGAACCCCGAUUGCGAAGGCAGCGUGCCGUGCCGCCACUGACGCUGAGGCACGAAAGCGCGGGGAUCGAACAGGAUUAGAUACCCGGGUAGUC